AUUGAACGCUGGCGGCAUGCCUUACACAUGCAAGUCGAACGGCAGCACGGGAGCAAUCCUGGUGGCGAGUGGCGAACGGGUGAGUAAUAUAUCGGAACGUGCCCAGUCGUGGGGGAUAACGUAGCGAAAGCUACGCUAAUACCGCAUACGAUCUAUGGAUGAAAGCGGGGGAUCGCAAGACCUCGCGCGAUUGGAGCGGCCGAUAUCAGAUUAGGUAGUUGGUGAGGUAAAGGCUCACCAAGCCGACGAUCUGUAGCUGGUCUGAGAGGACGACCAGCCUCACUGGGACUGAGACACGGCCCAGACUCCUACGGGAGGCAGCAGUGGGGGAAUUUUUGGACAAUGGGCGCAAGCCUGAUCCAGCAAUGCCGCGUGCAGGAUGAAGGCC
Molecule: ribosomal RNA, 388 nt
Filed under: uncultured bacterium
Lineage: Bacteria
Description: bacterial SSU rRNA
Rfam family: Bacterial small subunit ribosomal RNA
Source: RNAcentral